GGGGGCGAUCUGGUUUCGACUGGACCGGCAGAUUGUUGACUGCAUGUAGAGGAUGACCGUUGGCCUCUUUAAUCACCGGUUAAAACAAGUAACUGCAAACGAAGAAUUUGCAUUAGCCGCUUAACGUCGGCUACGUCUUUACUCUGACGGACACUAAGAGAUAAGGACGAAGCAGUGUCCUGGCGACAAAGGGCUUUUCCGGUUCCCGGCCUUUGCGCGAGAUAUAAGGGAAAAUAGUCCUGAGACAGACUUGCCCGUGAGUUAAGUCAAGGGACGAUAAGCAAUGAACACGGAACAAACAUGUAGACGUCUUCAUGACACUUGCCCAGGACGGGGGUUCGACUCCCCCCGCCUCCACCA
This 360-nucleotide transfer-messenger RNA is filed under the name Victivallales. Its description in RNAcentral is "GWF2-44-16 sp001803225 Standard tmRNA". It matches the Rfam family "transfer-messenger RNA". Rfam says of the family: Bacterial tmRNA, also known as 10Sa RNA or SsrA, is named for its dual tRNA and mRNA-like properties. Its role is to liberate the mRNA from a stalled ribosome. Lineage: Bacteria; Pseudomonadati; Lentisphaerota; Lentisphaeria. The record is from RNAcentral. RNAcentral also lists the same sequence under 1 other name.